UACAGAGGGUGCAAGCGUUAAUCGGAAUUACUGGGCGUAAAGCGCGCGUAGGUGGUUUGUUAAGUUGGAUGUGAAAUCCCCGGGCUCAACCUGGGAAUGGCAAUGGAUACUGGCAGGCUAGAGUGCGGUAGAGGGUAGUGGAAUUCCCGGUGUAGCGGUGAAAUGCGUAGAGAUCGGGAGGAACACCAGUGGCGAAGGCGGCUACCUGGACCAGCACUGACACUGAGGCACGAAAGCGUGGGGAGCAAACAGG
Molecule: ribosomal RNA, 253 nt
Filed under: uncultured bacterium
Lineage: Bacteria
Description: partial 16S ribosomal RNA
Rfam family: Bacterial small subunit ribosomal RNA
Source: RNAcentral